RNAcentral lists this ribosomal RNA (99 nucleotides) under Diplasiolejeunea plicatiloba. Its description in RNAcentral is "partial 26S ribosomal RNA". It matches the Rfam family "Eukaryotic large subunit ribosomal RNA", at positions 1 to 98 of the family's 3401-position model. Lineage: Eukaryota; Viridiplantae; Streptophyta; Jungermanniopsida; Porellales; Lejeuneaceae. The record is from RNAcentral.
CGGACCUCAGAUCAGGCAAGACCACCCGCUGAGUUUAAGCAUAUCACUAAGCGGAGGAAAAGAAACUAACAAGGAUNUCCUUAGUAACGGCGAGCGAAC